Molecule: ribosomal RNA, 1332 nt
Filed under: Triticum aestivum (bread wheat)
Lineage: Eukaryota; Viridiplantae; Streptophyta; Magnoliopsida; Poales; Poaceae
Description: partial small subunit ribosomal RNA
Source: RNAcentral
AUGGGCGAUGUCCGGAUCGUGUCCCGGCGCAUGGUCCGCCCGGACCCUAGCAUCCGCUGGCCGCCGGAGCAUCAGCCGGAGACCAUCCACCCGACGCCGUGGGAUCUCCGGAUGUUGGCCGUGGAUUACAUCCAGAAGGGCGUGCUCCUGCCCAAGACCCCCGCGGCAACCACCCAAGGACAGGGACGCAACAUCCCCGUCGUGGACCGCCUCUCGUCGUCCUUUGCGAGCGCCCUGGGCCGCUUCUACCACCUCGCCGGCCGCCUCGCCGUCAAUGACGACGGGGCCGGAGCCGGCCAAACCAUCUCGCUCCGGUGCAGCAACGAGGGCGCCGAGUUCGUGCACGCCGUGGCGCCGGGUGUCACCGUCGCGGACAUCACCGCCCCGCUAUGCAUCCCGCGGGUGGUCUGGUCCUUCUUCCCGCUCAACGGGGUGCUCGGCGCGGAGGCCGCCACGGGCUCCUGCCCGGUGCUGGCCGCGCAGGUCACCGACCUCGACGACGGCGUCUUCGUUGCCAUGUCGCUCAACCAUGGGGUGGCCGACUGGACCACCUUCUGGCAUCUGUUCAACACUUGGUCGGAGAUCAGCCGGCGUAGUGUCGACGGCGGCUACGACUGCGAGAUCUCCUCGCCGUUGCCGGUGUUCGAGAGGUGGUUCCCGAACGGCUGCGCCGUCCCCAUCCCUGUACCCUUGGGCAAGCUGGACGACAUCGUGGGGCAGCGUCGACGUGCAUAUGGCCAGCGCCCGCCGGUGCUGGAAUGCUUCGUGCGUUUCUCCGGGGAGAGCGUGAAAAAUCUCGUGUCGAAGGCGAACGCCGAGAUGUCAGGAUCUGGCACCACCAUCUCCUCGCUGCAGGCCAUGCUCGCGCACCUGUGGCGCGCGGUGUUCCGCGCCAGGAGGCUGGCGCCAGAGCAGGACACGCGGUACGUCCACCUCGUCGGAUGCCGGGGCCGCGCGGACGGCAUGCCGGCGGCCUACUCUGGCAGCGCAGUCUCGCACGUCGCGGCCGAUUCCACCGCCGGCGAGAUCCUCGAGAAAGGGCUGGGCCGCGCGGCGUGCUUCGCGUUGCCGCCGGCGCUCGCGCGGGGCGCCGAAGCUCCUGCGCUGCUGUUCACGGGGAGCUCGCCGCGUAUCGACGUGUACGGCAACGACUUCGGGUGGGGCGCACCGGUGGCGGUGCGGAGCGGCGGGGGGAGCAAGCUGGCCGGGAAGGCGACGGUGUACGAGGGCGGGUGCGCCGCCGGGAGCAUGGCGCUGGAGGUGUGCCUCGCCCCGGAGGCGCUCGACAGGCUCGUCGCCGACCAGGAGUUCAUGAGCGCCACCGUGCCAUGA